RNAcentral lists this ribosomal RNA (465 nucleotides) under uncultured bacterium. Its description in RNAcentral is "partial 16S ribosomal RNA". It matches the Rfam family "Bacterial small subunit ribosomal RNA", at positions 28 to 507 of the family's 1533-position model. The record is from RNAcentral.
GACGAACGCUGGCGGCGUGCUUAACACAUGCAAGUCGAACGGAAAGGCCCUGCUUGCAGGGUACUCGAGUGGCGAACGGGUGAGUAACACGUGGGUGAUCUGCCCUGCACUUCGGGAUAAGCCUGGGAAACUGGGUCUAAUACCGGAUAGGAGCCAUUUUUAGUGUGAUGGUUGGAAAGUUUUUUCGGUGUAGGAUGAGCUCGCGGCCUAUCUGCUUGUUGGUGGGGUAAUGGCCUACCAAGGCGGCGACGGGUAGCCGGCCUGAGAGGGUGGACGGCCACAUUGGGACUGAGAUACGGCCCAGACUCCUACGGGAGGCAGCAGUGGGGAAUAUUGCACAAUGGGCGCAAGCCUGAUGCAGCGACGCCGCGUGGGUGAUGACGGCCUUCGGGUUGUAAACUCCUUUCGCUAGGGACGAAGCUUUUUGUGACGGUACCUAGAUAAGAAGCACCGGCUAACUACGUG